Hemiscyllium ocellatum (epaulette shark) is the source of this 346-nucleotide long non-coding RNA. RefSeq lists it as uncharacterized. Lineage: Eukaryota; Metazoa; Chordata; Chondrichthyes; Orectolobiformes; Hemiscylliidae. The record is from RefSeq and is a predicted model, not a curated record. The transcript has 3 exons.
GAUUAGUAUGUGAUCAUGGGAAAGUCCCACUAGCUCAUUUUAAGACUUUUUCAUAGUUCCUUCAGAAGGGGUUUGAAACUGAACAGCUUUUCCGUGGUGUGUUUUAAGUUGAAGUGUGGUCCCACAGUUUGGAAACUCUCUUUUCCAUCCACAACCCGUAGCUGCUCACUGGAAGGACUAGGUUCUGGAUCCACAGCAGGGAAGGAGCUGUGAGAGAAACCACAGAAGUCCUGUAACAUUGAGUGAACACACCAUGUCGGGUUUCACAACAUCAUUCCAAUAAGAAGGAGACCAGAUUUACACGCAAUAUUCCAAAAGUUGCAGAAUCAACAUCCUGUACAGCUAC